AUUGAACGCUGGCGGCAUGCUUUACACAUGCAAGUCGAACGGUAACAGGCCUUCGGGCGCUGACGAGUGGCGAACGGGUGAGUAAUGCAUCGGAACGUGCCCAGUCGUGGGGGAUAACGCAGCGAAAGCUGUGCUAAUACCGCAUACGAUCUGCGGAUGAAAGCGGGGGACCUUAGGGCCUCGCGCGAUUGGAGCGGCCGAUGUCAGAUUAGCUAGUUGGUGGGGUAAAGGCCCACCAAGGCGACGAUCUGUAGCUGGUCUGAGAGGACGACCAGCCACACUGGGACUGAGACACGGCCCAGACUCCUACGGGAGGCAGCAGUGGGGAAUAUUGGGCAAUGGAGGAAACGUCUGACCCAGCGACGCCGCGUGAGGGAUGAAGGCCUUC
Molecule: ribosomal RNA, 388 nt
Filed under: uncultured bacterium
Lineage: Bacteria
Description: bacterial SSU rRNA
Rfam family: Bacterial small subunit ribosomal RNA
Source: RNAcentral